GUGGGGAAUAUUGGACAAUGGGGGGAACCCUGAUCCAGCCAUGCCGCGUGUGUGAAGAAGGCCUUUUGGUUGUAAAGCACUUUAAGCGAGGAGGAGGCUACCGAGAUUAAUACUCUUGGAUAGUGGACGUUACUCGCAGAAUAAGCACCGACUAACUCUGUGCCAGCAGCCGCGGUAAUACAGAGGGUGCAAGCGUUAAUCGGAUUUACUGGGCGUAAAGCGCGCGUAGGUGGCCAAUUAAGUCAAAUGUGAAAUCCCCGAGCUUAACUUGGGAAUUGCAUUCGAUACUGGUUGGCUAGAGUAUGGGAGAGGAUGGUAGAAUUCCAGGUGUAGCGGUGAAAUGCGUAGAGAUCUGGAGGAAUACCGAUGGCGAAGGCAGCCAUCUGGCCUAAUACUGACACUGAGGUGCGAAAGCAUGGGGAGCAAACAGGAUUAGAAACCCGGGUAGUCC
This 451-nucleotide ribosomal RNA is filed under the name uncultured bacterium. Its description in RNAcentral is "partial 16S ribosomal RNA". It matches the Rfam family "Bacterial small subunit ribosomal RNA", at positions 354 to 796 of the family's 1533-position model. The record is from RNAcentral.